UAUUAAACCCCUGGGUAGUACUCAAACCAAUAUAAAAUGGCGGUCUUAUUUAACUAGAGAAACUCGCUUUUUAAUCGAAAACACCCGCUAAAUCUAACUUUAUUAAAAAGUUUAUAUACCGCCGUUAAAGAGUUAAAAACAAUCUUAAACACUUCAAAUAAUACUAUUUAAAAUCAGGUCAAGGUGUAACUAAUAAUAAAGGAAAAGUAAGUUACAUUAAAAACAAUUUAAGGAUAAUAAUAAAAAUAAACGUGAAAAAGAAUUUACAUGUACAUACUGAUUAAAAAUUAGUAUUGAAUAAAGAUUAUAAGAUGC
Molecule: ribosomal RNA, 315 nt
Filed under: Pholcus debilis
Lineage: Eukaryota; Metazoa; Arthropoda; Arachnida; Araneae; Pholcidae
Description: partial 12S ribosomal RNA
Source: RNAcentral